This 504-nucleotide ribosomal RNA is filed under the name uncultured bacterium. Its description in RNAcentral is "partial 16S ribosomal RNA". It matches the Rfam family "Bacterial small subunit ribosomal RNA", at positions 28 to 523 of the family's 1533-position model. The record is from RNAcentral.
GAUAAACGCUAGCGGCAGGCUUAACACAUGCAAGUCGAGGGGCAGCAUAGAUUGUAGCAAUACAAUUGGUGGCGACCGGCGCACGGGUGCGUAACGCGUAUGCAACCUACCCGUCACAGGGGGAUAAUCCGGAGAAAUCUGGUCUAAUACCCCAUAACAUAUGGAUCGGCAUCGGUUCAUGUUGAAAUUUUCGGAGAUGACGGAUGGGCAUGCGUAGCAUUAGCUUGUUGGUGAGGUAACGGCUCACCAAGGCGACGAUGCUUAGGGGGACUGAGAGGUUUUCCCCCCACACGGGUACUGAGACACGGACCAGACUCCUACGGGAGGCAGCAGUGAGGAAUAUUGGUCAAUGGGCGCAAGCCUGAACCAGCCAUGCCGCGUGCAGGAUGACGGCUCUAUGAGUUGUAAACUGCUUUUGUACGAGGGUAAAGUGGGUUACGUGUAACCUUUUGGAAGUAUCGUACGAAUAAGGAUCGGCUAACUCCGUGCCAGCAGCCGCCGUAA